Molecule: long non-coding RNA, 824 nt
Organism: Hippocampus comes (tiger tail seahorse)
Lineage: Eukaryota; Metazoa; Chordata; Actinopteri; Syngnathiformes; Syngnathidae
Exons: 2
Source: RefSeq, a predicted model, not a curated record
GAGACACAUUGCUGCUUGAAUGGAAGGACUGACAGAGAAGCGUCACUCUUUGCAAAUUUGCACAUGGUGGCUGGGCGCCCAUGUUUACGCAAGCUUCACAGGAACGCAUACAUCAAUGACACACUCAGUCAAUGACGCAAACACACACACUCACACACACACACACACACACACACACACACACACACACACACACACACACACACACACACGCUUUCCUCACACUUCCUAUGGGUAGCGUUUCAACACAAAACAAACCAAAAAGAGCGCUCAUCGAUGGCGUCAUUUGGACGAAGGUGUCAUUUUGAAAAUGAAAAUGCAUCCUGGAAACAGCCCCCAUGAAAAAACGGAGAAACGGCACCCCGCCGACUUUUUUCAGAACUUAUUCAUUCCGCGUCCACGCUCGUAACUUUGAACUCCGAUUCAAGCAAAUUAAUGUGGCAGAUGAGCAAGGCAACUGGGGGUUACUAUGGCAACGCCUCUCGGCAUUCCCUGCCGCCCGGUCUCCAUGGCGAUGGCAUCUCGGUAACGUAGUUUUCAAAGUAAUGCAAUUUCUAAGUAACAAGGUUGUCACGUUUGGAACCCUAAGGCAGGUUUGAAAGCUUAAUUUCAAACCUUAACCCUAUCGGCACAUCACAAUUUUAAACCCUAAACUUGAAAACAGGAUUCAAAACCAGAACUCAGUCUAACAACAACAACAACAACACCAUCGGACUUCAUCAGGGCGGAAAACUGGAUGGUCAAUCAUCAGAACUGAACCCAAUCGAGCCAACAUUUUACCUCCUGAAGAAAGAGACUGAACGGAGAAACCCACAGAAACAAAA